AGGACAAACGCUGGCGGGGUGCAUGAGACAUGCAAGUCGAACGAGGCACUGUUGAGCUUGCUCGACGGUGUCCUAGUGGCGGACGGCUGAGUAACGCGUAGGUGACCUACCCGGAAGUGGGGAAUAACUGCCCGAAAGGGUGGCUAAUACCGCAUGUGGUCGACGAUUCGAUUCGUCGUCCAAAGGAGCAAUUCGCUUCCGGAGGGGCCUGCGUCCGAUUAGCUAGUUGGUGGGGUAACGGCUUACCAAGGCGACGAUCGGUAGCUGGUCUGAGAGGAUGAUCAGCCAGACUGGGACUGAGACACGGCCCAGACUCCUACGGGAGGCAGCAGUCGGGAAUUUUGCCCAAUGAGCGAAAGCUUGAGGCAGCAACUCCGCGUGAGGGAUGAAGGCUCUAGGGUCGUAAACCUCUUUUCUCAGGGAAGAUACAAGACGGUACCUGAGGAAUAAGCGACGGCUAACUACGUGCCAGCAGCCGC
This 479-nucleotide ribosomal RNA is filed under the name uncultured bacterium. RNAcentral's name for it is "SSU rRNA". It matches the Rfam family "Bacterial small subunit ribosomal RNA", at positions 26 to 518 of the family's 1533-position model. The record is from RNAcentral.